AUGAACGCUAGCUACAGGCUUAACACAUGCAAGUCGAGGGGAAACGGCAUUAAGUGCUUGCACUUUUUGGACGUCGACCGGCGCACGGGUGAGUAACGCGUAUCCAACCUGCCCCUUACCAGGGAAUAACCCGUUGAAAGACGGACUAAUGCCCUAUGCAGUCCUUUGACGGCAUCAGAUUAGGACUAAAGAUUCAUCGGUAUGGGAUGGGGAUGCGUCUGAUUAGCUUGUUGGCGGGGUAACGGCCCACCAAGGCAUCGAUCAGUAGGGGUUCUGAGAGGAAGGUCCCCCACAUAGGAACUGAGACACGGUCCUAACUCCUACGGGAGGCAGCAGUGAGGAAUAUUGGUCAAUGGGCGCUAGCCUGAACCAGCCAAGUAGCGUGCAGGACGACGGCCCUAUGGGUUGUAAACUGCUUUUAUGCGGGGAUAAAGUCACCCACGUGUGGGUGUUUGCAGGUACCGCAUGAAUAAGGACCGGCUAAUUCCGUG
This 491-nucleotide ribosomal RNA is filed under the name uncultured bacterium. RNAcentral's name for it is "partial 16S ribosomal RNA". It matches the Rfam family "Bacterial small subunit ribosomal RNA", at positions 29 to 507 of the family's 1533-position model. The record is from RNAcentral.